This 376-nucleotide ribosomal RNA is filed under the name uncultured organism. Its description in RNAcentral is "partial 16S ribosomal RNA". It matches the Rfam family "Bacterial small subunit ribosomal RNA", at positions 527 to 896 of the family's 1533-position model. The record is from RNAcentral.
GUAGGUGGCAAGCGUUGUCCGGAAUUAUUGGGCGUAAAGCGCGCGCAGGCGGUUCUUUAAGUCUGAUGUGAAAGCCCACGGCUCAACCGUGGAGGGUCAUUGGAAACUGGAGAACUUGAGUACAGAAGAGGAAAGCGGAAUUCCACGUGUAGCGGUGAAAUGCGUAGAGAUGAGGAGGAACACCAGUGGCGAAGGCGGCUUUCUGGUCUGUAACUGACGCUGAGGCGCGAGAGCGUGGGGGGAGCAAACAGGAUUAGAUACCCUGGUAGUCCACGCCGUAAACGAUGAGUGCUAAGUGUUAGGGGGUUUCCGCCCCCCCCUUAGUGCUGCAGCUAACGCAUUAAGCACUCCGCCUGGGAGUACGGCCGCAAGGCUG